CACCCUCUCCAUUGAGCAUACAUAGGACGUGCCAGUCUAUCCAAAAUAUUGAUCUCUAACUCAAUGCUCCUAUGACUAAGAAUAAUUUUAGAUUAGGAUUUUAGAGUUUCGGAUCUUACAGGCAUGACCACUUCAUGAUUUCAAAAUCAUUGCCUUAAUCUAUGGGGUUCAUCAUUAUCUUUUAAAUAUAGAAAGACACAGCUGUAAAUGAUGAGUCAAAGAAUGCCUU
Molecule: long non-coding RNA, 229 nt
Filed under: Elaeis guineensis (African oil palm)
Lineage: Eukaryota; Viridiplantae; Streptophyta; Magnoliopsida; Arecales; Arecaceae
Description: long non-coding RNA (EGUI_LNC068341)
Source: RNAcentral